CCUACGGGUGGCAGCAGUGAGGAAUAUUGGUCAAUGGGCGAGAGCCUGAACCAGCCAAGUAGCGUGAAGGAUGACUGCCCUAUGGGUUGUAAACUUCUUUUAUAUGGGAAUAAAGUUGUCCACGUGUGGAUUUUUGUAUGUACCAUAUGAAUAAGGAUCGGCUAACUACGUGCCAGCAGCCGCGGUAAUACGGAGGAUCCGAGCGUUAUCCGGAUUUAUUGGGUUUAAAGGGAGCGUAGGCGGACGCUUAAGUCAGUUGUGAAAGUUUGCGGCUCAACCGUAAAAUUGCAGUUGAUACUGGGUGUCUUGAGUACAGUAGAGGCAGGCGGAAUUCGUGGUGUAGCGGUGAAAUGCUUAGAUAUCACGAAGAACUCCGAUUGCGAAGGCAGCUCACUGGACUGCAACUGACACUGAUGCUCGAAAG
Molecule: ribosomal RNA, 424 nt
Filed under: uncultured Fusobacterium sp.
Lineage: Bacteria; Fusobacteriati; Fusobacteriota; Fusobacteriia; Fusobacteriales; Fusobacteriaceae
Description: bacterial SSU rRNA
Rfam family: Bacterial small subunit ribosomal RNA
Source: RNAcentral